Molecule: ribosomal RNA, 248 nt
Filed under: uncultured bacterium
Lineage: Bacteria
Description: partial 16S ribosomal RNA
Rfam family: Bacterial small subunit ribosomal RNA
Source: RNAcentral
CAGGGCCUAAACGAUCUUGAUUAGCUUUUGGGAGUAUCGACCCUCUCAGAGGCGUAGCUAACGCGUUAAAUCAAGCGCCUGGGAAGUACGAGCGCAAGCUUAAAACUCAAAGGAAUAGACGGGGACUUGCACAAGCGGUGGAUCAUGUGGUUUAAUUCGACGCUAAACGAAGAACCUCACCAAGGCUAGACAUCCUAUUCAGGCGGCACACGGGAAACCGAUAGUCGAUAUUGUGGUAGGACAGGUGU